UACGUAGGGGGCAAGCGUUGUCCGGAUUUACUGGGCGUAAAGCGUGUUCAGGCGGUCUAGCAAGUCGGGCAUGAAAUCUCUCGGCCCAACCGGGAGGGGUUGUCCGAUACUGCUGGGCUUGAGGGCAGCAGAGGGUGGUGGAAUUCCGGGUGUAGUGGUGAAAUGCGUAGAUAUCCGGAGGAACACCAGUGGCGAAGGCGGCCACCUGGGCUGUACCUGACGCUCAAACACGAAAGCUAGGGGAGCGAACGGG
RNAcentral lists this ribosomal RNA (253 nucleotides) under uncultured bacterium. RNAcentral's name for it is "partial 16S ribosomal RNA". It matches the Rfam family "Bacterial small subunit ribosomal RNA", at positions 524 to 776 of the family's 1533-position model. The record is from RNAcentral.